This 699-nucleotide ribosomal RNA is filed under the name Lysobacter sp. DNG7. RNAcentral describes it as "bacterial SSU rRNA". It matches the Rfam family "Bacterial small subunit ribosomal RNA", at positions 65 to 753 of the family's 1533-position model. The record is from RNAcentral. Lineage: Bacteria; Pseudomonadati; Pseudomonadota; Gammaproteobacteria; Lysobacterales; Lysobacteraceae.
AACGGCAGCACAGGAGAGCUUGCUCUCUGGGUGGCGAGUGGCGGACGGGUGAGGAAUGCGUCGGAAUCUGCCUAUUUGUGGGGGAUAACGUAGGGAAACUUACGCUAAUACCGCAUACGACCUACGGGUGAAAGUGGGGGACCUUCGGGCCUCACGCAGAUAGAUGAGCCGACGCCGGAUUAGCUAGUUGGCGGGGUAAAGGCCCACCAAGGCGACGAUCCGUAGCUGGUCUGAGAGGAUGAUCAGCCACACUGGAACUGAGACACGGUCCAGACUCCUACGGGAGGCAGCAGUGGGGAAUAUUGGACAAUGGGCGCAAGCCUGAUCCAGCCAUGCCGCGUGUGUGAAGAAGGCCUUCGGGUUGUAAAGCACUUUUGUCCGGAAAGAAAAGCAUCCGGUUAAUAACCGGGUGUCAUGACGGUACCGGAAGAAUAAGCACCGGCUAACUUCGUGCCAGCAGCCGCGGUAAUACGAAGGGUGCAAGCGUUACUCGGAAUUACUGGGCGUAAAGCGUGCGUAGGUGGUUUGUUAAGUCCGAUGUGAAAGCCCUGGGCUCAACCUGGGAAUGGCAUUGGAUACUGGCAGGCUAGAGUGCGGUAGAGGGGUGUGGAAUUCCCGGUGUAGCAGUGAAAUGCGUAGAUAUCGGGAGGAACAUCUGUGGCGAAGGCGACACCCUGGACCAGCACUGACACUGAGGCA